UACGUAGGUGGCAAGCGUUGUCCGGAUUUACUGGGCGUAAAGAGCGCGCAGGCGGUCGUUCAAGUCGCGUGUGAAAGCCCCCGGCUCAACUGGGGAGGGUCACGCGAUACUGAUCGACUCGAAGGCAGGAGAGGGAAGUGGAAUUCCCGGUGUAGUGGUGAAAUGCGUAGAUAUCGGGAGGAACACCAGUGGCGAAGGCGAAUCUCUGGACAGUUACUGACACUGAGGCACGAAGGCCAGGGGAGCAAACGGG
Molecule: ribosomal RNA, 253 nt
Filed under: uncultured bacterium
Lineage: Bacteria
Description: partial 16S ribosomal RNA
Rfam family: Bacterial small subunit ribosomal RNA
Source: RNAcentral